Molecule: ribosomal RNA, 465 nt
Filed under: uncultured bacterium
Lineage: Bacteria
Description: partial 16S ribosomal RNA
Rfam family: Bacterial small subunit ribosomal RNA
Source: RNAcentral
CCUACGGGGGGCAGCAGUAGGGAAUCUUCCACAAUGGGCGAAAGCCUGAUGGAGCAACGCCGCGUGGGUGAAGAAGGUCUUCGGAUCGUAAAACCCUGUUGUUAGAGAAGAAAGUGCGUGAGAGUAACUGUUCACGUUUCGACGGUAUCUAACCAGAAAGCCACGGCUAACUACGUGCCAGCAGCCGCGGUAAUACGUAGGUGGCAAGCGUUAUCCGGAUUUAUUGGGCGUAAAGGGAACGCAGGCGGUCUUUUAAGUCUGAUGGGAAAGCCUUCGGCUUAACCGGGGUAGUGCAUUGGAAACUGGGAGACUUGAGUGCAGAAGAGGAGAGUGGAACUCCAUGUGUAGCGGUGAAAUGCGUAGAUAUAUGGAAGAACACCGGUGGCGAAAGCGGCUCUCUGGUCUGUAACUGACGCUGAGGUUCGAAAGCGUGGGUAGCAAACAGGAUUAGAUACCCCAGUAGUC